This 233-nucleotide ribosomal RNA is filed under the name uncultured bacterium. RNAcentral's name for it is "partial 16S ribosomal RNA". It matches the Rfam family "Bacterial small subunit ribosomal RNA", at positions 524 to 776 of the family's 1533-position model. The record is from RNAcentral.
UACGAAGGGGGCGAGCGUUGUUCGGAAUCACUGGGCGUAAAGGGCGCGUAGGCGGCCCUCUUAGUCGCGUGUGAAAGCCCCGGGCUCAACCUGGGAACGGCGCGCGAAACGGGAGGGCUGGAGUUCGGGAGAGGAGAGUGGAAUUCGUAGAUAUCAAGCGGAACACCGGUGGCGAAGGCGGCCUUCUGGACGAUGACUGACGCUGAGACGCGAAAGCGUGGGGAGCAAACAGG